RNAcentral lists this ribosomal RNA (501 nucleotides) under uncultured Acidovorax sp. Its description in RNAcentral is "bacterial SSU rRNA". It matches the Rfam family "Bacterial small subunit ribosomal RNA", at positions 9 to 507 of the family's 1533-position model. The record is from RNAcentral. Lineage: Bacteria; Pseudomonadati; Pseudomonadota; Betaproteobacteria; Burkholderiales; Comamonadaceae.
GAGUUUGAUCCUGGCUCAGAUUGAACGCUGGCGGCAUGCCUUACACAUGCAAGUCGAACGGUAACGGGCCUUCGGGUGCCGACGAGUGGCGAACGGGUGAGUAAUACAUCGGAACGUGCCCGAUCGUGGGGGAUAACGAGGCGAAAGCUUUGCUAAUACCGCAUACGAUCUACGGAUGAAAGCAGGGGACCGCAAGGCCUUGCGCGGACGGAGCGGCCGAUGGCAGAUUAGGUAGUUGGUGGGAUAAAAGCUUACCAAGCCGACGAUCUGUAGCUGGUCUGAGAGGAUGAUCAGCCACACUGGGACUGAGACACGGCCCAGACUCCUACGGGAGGCAGCAGUGGGGAAUUUUGGACAAUGGGCGCAAGCCUGAUCCAGCCAUGCCGCGUGCAGGAUGAAGGCCUUCGGGUUGUAAACUGCUUUUGUACGGAACGAAAAGCCUUCUUCUAAUACAGGAGGGUCAUGACGGUACCGUAAGAAUAAGCACCGGCUAACUACGUG